AUUGAACGCUGGCGGCAGGCCUAACACAUGCAAGUCGAGCGGAUGAAGGGAGCUUGCUCCUGGAUUCAGCGGCGGGCGGGUGAGUAAUGCCUAGGAAUCUGCCUGGUAGUGGGGGAUAACGUCCGGAAACGGGCGCUAAUACCGCAUACGUCCUGAGGGAGAAAGUGGGGGAUCUUCGGACCUCACGCUAUCAGAUGAGCCUAGGUCGGAUUAGCUAGUUGGUGGGGUAAAGGCCUACCAAGGCGACGAUCCGUAACUGGUCUGAGAGGAUGAUCAGUCACACUGGAACUGAGACACGGUCCAGACUCCUACGGGAGGCAGCAGUGGGGAAUAUUGGACGAUGGGCGAAAGCCUGAUCCAGCCAUGCCGCGUGUGUGAAGAAGGUCUUCGGAUUGUAAAGCACUUUAAGUUGGGAGGAAGGGCAGUAAGUUAAUACCUUGCUGUUUUGACGUUACCAACAGAAUAAGCACCGGCUAACUUCGUG
This 484-nucleotide ribosomal RNA is filed under the name uncultured bacterium. RNAcentral's name for it is "partial 16S ribosomal RNA". It matches the Rfam family "Bacterial small subunit ribosomal RNA", at positions 30 to 507 of the family's 1533-position model. The record is from RNAcentral.